Molecule: ribosomal RNA, 253 nt
Filed under: uncultured bacterium
Lineage: Bacteria
Description: partial 16S ribosomal RNA
Rfam family: Bacterial small subunit ribosomal RNA
Source: RNAcentral
UACGUAGGGUCCGAGCGUUGUCCGGAAUUAUUGGGCGUAAAGGGCUCGUAGGCGGUUUGUCGCGUCGGGAGUGAAAACUCAGGGCUCAACCCUGAGCGUGCUUCCGAUACGGGCAGACUAGAGGUAUGCAGGGGAGAACGGAAUUCCUGGUGUAGCGGUGGAAUGCGCAGAUAUCAGGAGGAACACCGGUGGCGAAGGCGGGUCUCUGGGCAGUAACUGACGCUGAGGAGCGAAAGCGUGGGGAGCGAACAGG